Odocoileus virginianus texanus is the source of this 1195-nucleotide non-coding RNA. The record is from RefSeq and is a predicted model, not a curated record. Lineage: Eukaryota; Metazoa; Chordata; Mammalia; Artiodactyla; Cervidae.
CCCGCCUUUCCCGGGCUAGCGGGCGGGCGGUUGUCCGAGCCUUGGCGUCUGUGCGUCCCAUCACGUAGGUUACGCACACACUUCGUCCGGGCUGCCGCCGGGAGCUCCCCCAGGCAGCAGUGCCUUCACAGACUCGGGCUCCCUGGAGGCUGCGCCGCGAUGGUUCGGGUCGCGGGUCUGAGGUGGAGCUGACUAAGGGCUGAGAAGACCCUGGGAGUCGCUACGGAGCACGAAGCUCUUCCCUGGCCGUCGGGCCCCGGGCUUCCCGCCCUCCCGCCGACUUCCAGCCGUCUGUGUCAAGCUAUUUUUCUGGAAGCCCUGAACUCCGUGCCCCUCAAGCCCUGGGCCCCCUGCGGGAAUGUUCAAAAAUGAGUACCAGGGAGGUGCAUUUGUUGAAAUCUUUAGUGCCCAGGGUAAAAAUCCUGGAGCAAAAUGGAAGAUCCUCGGCAGUCCAUCUGUGAUUUGGAAAGAAUUUGAUAAAGAAGUUAAAAGUUUUGUGUUUGUACUGGAAGGCAGCAGCCAAACAAAUAAAAUACAGUUACCAAAGGAGAAUAAGCAAAUCCUUGGACUGAUCCAGAGGUUUCUUGUACUUCAGAUUUACAUACCCCUGGGACAAGACUUCUCCACUGAAUUGCUCAUCUCCUCCUAGCUGGGCACAGUGGUGCUGCUUGCAUAUAGAAUCAUGGUGAACAUCUGUUUGUUGCUGCAAAAGAGAAACCUAGUCUCUGGCCUCUGAAGAGCAAAACAGACUCUGUAGCACAAAGGCACACAGAGGUGUUCAGCAGCUUAUGUCUCUUAGUUGUUGGAUUGCAACCUAACGGAAAAGCUGGUAUAAAUUCAACACAUGAAUGGACAACAGCUUUCUUGGGAGAAUGAAUGCAGAAACUGUAUACUGAAGAUGGCACAGUGGAAAAAUGGAGAAGGUACCUGGGUCUCUGAUGGCUUUAUUGAGCCACUAACCUUCCUUAAUUGCCUGUCCUUAGAUUUGAAAGGGUAAAUGAUCCUCAUUCUUAAGCCUUUAUUUUUCAAGGUUACUUAUAGUCUAACACAUUUCUAACUGAUACACUUCUCUUCCUAAGUUUUCUAAGUCAGAAUGAAAUUAUGCAUUGUUCUCUUAAUAAACUUAAUCUACUUGGGAAUUAUAGAAAUAACUUUUAUGUAUAUCUUCUUGUUAGUAUUAGUCACUCAGUCAUGU